AGUAUCUAUUAUCUAGAAAAACAAAGAAGGUGAAAGCUAUUGCAUCCAAGGGAAGAGCUAAUUCUUAUUCGGAAAAAGAGGCAAACUAUCUAAAUAAUCAGGGGGUUUUCGAGGCAAUAGCCAAGGAAAUUAAGGUCGUAACUAUUACAAUAAAGUUGGUUACAAGGAUAGAGAUCAAGGGAACUAGAAGAGAAAAAAUGAUAAAAAUGGACUAUAUGUACCUCCUGGAAGCAGAGAUAAUGCUGAAACUAGCUCUGGGAAGAUAUCCAUGAAGGACAUGAUGGGGAAAUUAUUAAAGGGUGUUAAGACUACCAAAUC
Molecule: long non-coding RNA, 318 nt
Filed under: Capsicum annuum
Lineage: Eukaryota; Viridiplantae; Streptophyta; Magnoliopsida; Solanales; Solanaceae
Description: long non-coding RNA (CANN_LNC009979)
Source: RNAcentral